CCUACGGGUGGCUGCAGUGGGGAAUAUUGCGCAAUGGGCGAAAGCCUGACGCAGCGACGCCGCGUGAGGGAUGAAGGUCUUCGGAUCGGUAACCUCUGUCUGCAGGGGAGUACGGUCACUGUGCUAAUCAGCAGUGAAUUUACGGUAUCUGCAAAGGAAGCAUCGGCUAAUUCCGUCCCAGCCGCCGCGGUAAUACGGAGGGUGAGAGCUUUAAUCGGAAUUAUUGGGCGGAAACCGCUCGUUGGCGGUAUGUCAAGUCAGGGGUGAAAGAGCCGCGCUCAACGUGUGAACUGCCGUUGAAACUGGCAAACUGGAGUGUGUUGGAGGAUGGUGGAAUUCGAGGUGUAGGAGUGAAAUGCGUAGAUAUCUGGAGGAACAUCGAUGGCGAAGGCGACUAUCUGGCACAUAACUGACGCUGAGGAGCGAAAGCGUGGGUAGCAAACAGGAUUAGAUACCCGAGUAGUC
This 465-nucleotide ribosomal RNA is filed under the name uncultured bacterium. Its description in RNAcentral is "partial 16S ribosomal RNA". It matches the Rfam family "Bacterial small subunit ribosomal RNA", at positions 338 to 795 of the family's 1533-position model. The record is from RNAcentral.